Molecule: ribosomal RNA, 421 nt
Filed under: uncultured bacterium
Lineage: Bacteria
Description: bacterial SSU rRNA
Rfam family: Bacterial small subunit ribosomal RNA
Source: RNAcentral
AAUUUUGGACAAUGGGCGAAAGCCUGAUCCAGCAAUGCCGCGUGCAGGAUGAAGGCCCUCGGGUUGUAAACUGCUUUUGUACGGAACGAAAAGCCUGGGGCUAAUACCCCCGGGUCAUGACGGUACCGUAAGAAUAAGCACCGGCUAACUACGUGCCAGCAGCCGCGGUAAUACGUAGGGUGCAAGCGUUAAUCGGAAUUACUGGGCGUAAAGCGUGCGCAGGCGGUUUUGUAAGACAGUGGUGAAAUCCCCGGGCUCAACCUGGGAACUGCCAUUGUGACUGCGAGGCUAGAGUGCGGCAGAGGGGGAUGGAAUUCCGCGUGUAGCAGUGAAAUGCGUAGAUAUGCGGAGGAACACCGAUGGCGAAGGCAAUCCCCUGGGCCUGCACUGACGCUCAUGCACGAAAGCGUGGGGAGCAAAC